AACUAUUAACUUCAGAAAACAGAGGCCACUGAUAUCUGAGAACUUAGUUUUAUAUUGAGUGUGGAACUCAAAGAUGAGGUUGAAGUAUGCAAGAUAUCUGUUAGUUUUGGUGGAAACUGAGAGUGCAAGUAUGUUGAAACUGGACAACAGAUCUGUAGAGCAGAAAAAUGAACCAGCAAGCUCCAUAACCUCAUCUGCUCGGAUUGGGAGUUGUGUGGCUGCUGCUGGCGCUGGAGUUGCCUAUUUGACACCGAUUGAUGAACAUCACACUGAUAGCACAUAGCAGUUGUAGCUUUGUAUACUCUAAAAUUAUGUCCUGUGAAGUCCUAUAAAUGUUCUUCCUUCAUCUCAGUAUUAAUCAGCAGUUUACAUAAUCCAUUGGAAAUGUAUCUGUUUGAAUAACCUUUCUGUUGCUUAGAAUGAGAUGUAAUACGAGUAUUUUAUUUAUUUUUAUAAAUUUCGCAAUAUUUCCCACUGAAGGUCAGAGAAAUCCUUAUAUUUAUCUGGAAACAUUUGCCCAGUUUCAUGCCCAGCUCAAAGUUUCUAGAGAGAGGCAUGCGGUGUGGGUGUGCAGGAAUGCAAUCCAGCCAGUCUCCAGAGAAGCCUGAAAAUUUCUGCUGCAG
This 623-nucleotide long non-coding RNA is filed under the name Setaria italica (foxtail millet). Its description in RNAcentral is "long non-coding RNA (SITA_LNC006111)". The record is from RNAcentral. Lineage: Eukaryota; Viridiplantae; Streptophyta; Magnoliopsida; Poales; Poaceae.